Transfer RNA from Paracoccidioides sp., 87 nucleotides. It matches the Rfam family "tRNA". Rfam says of the family: Transfer RNA (tRNA) molecules are approximately 80 nucleotides in length. The record is from Rfam. NCBI's taxonomy places the organism in Eukaryota, Fungi, Ascomycota, Eurotiomycetes, Onygenales, Ajellomycetaceae.
GGCCGGCUGGCGUAAUGGCUAACGCAUCCGUUUCCGGUUCCACGUCCUGUCUGCGGAAGAUUGCAGGUUCGAGUCCUGCGCCGGUCG